GCCCAGACUCCUACGGGAGGCAGCAGUGGGGGAUAUUGCACAAUGGGGGGAACCCUGAUGCAGCGACGCCGCGUGGGUGAAGAAGUAUUUCGGUAUGUAAAGCCCUAUCGGCAGGGAAGAAAUUGGACGGUACCUGACUAAGAAGCCCCGGCUAACUACGUGCCAGCAGCCGCGGUAAUACGUAGGGGGCAAGCGUUAUCCGGAUUCACUGGGUGUAAAGGGAGCGUAGACGGCCAUGCAAGCCUGGAGUGAAAACCCGGGGCCCAACCCCGGGACUGCUCUGGGAACUGUGCGGCUGGAGUGCGGGAGGGGCAGGCGGAAUUCCUGGUGUAGCGGUGAAAUGCGUAGAUAUCAGGAGGAACACCGGCGGCGAAGGCGGCCUGCUGGACCGCGACUGACGUUGAGGCUCGAAAGCGUGGGGAGCAAACAGGAUUAGAUACCCCGGUACAA
RNAcentral lists this ribosomal RNA (450 nucleotides) under uncultured bacterium. RNAcentral's name for it is "bacterial SSU rRNA". It matches the Rfam family "Bacterial small subunit ribosomal RNA", at positions 329 to 794 of the family's 1533-position model. The record is from RNAcentral.